GAUAUUGCCCUUGCUUCCAGGAAAAGCCACUAAGCUUCAGCUGUAGAAAAACCGUACCGCAAACCGACACAGGUAGGCAGGGUGAGAAUCCCAAGGCGCUUGAGAGAACUCGGGUGAAGGAACUAGGCAAAAUGGCACCGUAACUUCGGGAGAAGGUGCGCCUCUUGGUGUGGUCACGUGCGUGACUGAGCAUCGAGGGGUCGCAGUAACCUGGCCGCUGCGACUGUUUAUCAAAAACACAGCACUCUGCAAACACGAAAGUGGACGUAUAGGGUGUGACGCCUGCCCGGUGCUGGAAGGUUAAUUGAUGGGGUCAGCCGCAAGGCGAAGCUCUUGAUCGAAGCCCCAGUAAACGGCGGCCGUAACCAUAACGGUCCUAAGGUAGCGAAAUUCCUUGUCGGGUAAGUUCCGACCUGCACGAAUGGCGUAACGACAGCGGCGCUGUCUCCACCCGAGACUCAGUGAAAUUGAAAUCGCUGUGAAGAUGCAGCGUUCCCGCGGCAAGACGGAAAGACCCCGUGAACCUUUACUAUAGCUUUACACUGAACGUUGAGUUCUUCUGUGUAGGAUAGGUGGGAGGCUAUGAAACCAGGACGCUAGUUCUGGUGGAGCCAUCCUUGAAAUACCACCCUGAAGUGCUUGACGUUCUAACCUAGGUCCGUAAUCCGGAUCGGGGACCGUGUAUGGUGGGUAGUUUGACUGGGGCGGUCUCCUCCCAAAGAGUAACGGAGGAGCACGAAGGUACGCUCAGCGCGGUCGGACAUCGCGCACUGUGUGCAAAGGCAUAAGCGUGCUUGACUGCGAGAUCGACGGAUCAAGCAGGUACGAAAGUAGGUCUUAGUGAUCCGGUGGUUCUGUAUGGAAGGGCCAUCGCUCAACGGAUAAAAGGUACUCCGGGGAUAACAGGCUGAUACCGCCCAAGAGUUCAUAUCGACGGCGGUGUUUGGCACCUCGAUGUCGGCUCAUCACAUCCUGGGGCUGUAGCCGGUCCCAAGGGUAUGGCUGUUCGCCAUUUAAAGUGGUACGCGAGCUGGGUUCAGAACGUCGUGAGACAGUUCGGUCCCUAUCUGUCGUGGGCGUUGGAGAUUUGAGGGGGGCUGCUCCUAGUACGAGAGGACCGGAGUGGACGUUCCGCUGGUGUUCGGGUUGUCAUGCCCAUGGCAUUGCCCGGUAGCUACGAACGGAAGUGAUAACCGCUGAAAGCAUCUAAGCGGGAAGCACGCCCCAAGAUGAGAUCUCCCGAGAGCUUGACUCUCCUAAAGGCACCAUCAAGACUAGGUGGUUGAUAGGCACGGUGUGGAAGUGCAGCAAUGCAUUGAGCUUACGUGUACUAAUGAGCCGUGAGGCUUGACCAA
This 1355-nucleotide ribosomal RNA is filed under the name metagenome. RNAcentral's name for it is "bacterial LSU rRNA". It matches the Rfam family "Bacterial large subunit ribosomal RNA", at positions 1592 to 2925 of the family's 2925-position model. The record is from RNAcentral.